This 334-nucleotide long non-coding RNA is filed under the name Calidris pugnax (ruff). RNAcentral's name for it is "lncRNA (ENSCPUG00000010852.1)". The record is from RNAcentral. Lineage: Eukaryota; Metazoa; Chordata; Aves; Charadriiformes; Scolopacidae.
GUUAAGGUGUAACUUAACACAGAGGAACCAAUCUCUUCCUGGAGGGAGUUUUCCAAGCAAAAGGUUCCGAUGCCUAAGGAUGUGUGAACAUCAGAGGUGGUAGCCGUCACUGCCUUAAGAGAGUUGAAAUAAAGAAACAAAAAUAUAUUCUGUUGGGGCAAGUCUGAAGUUACAUUUGUCUUCAAUUUUUGUAACUCAGCAUAGGUGUCCUGAAGGGAAUUUGAAGCUCCAUUGAAUAUCGCCAGCUGAAGAUUGUCCAGAGUAUCUAAAAUGUCCAAAUUUCUAAUGGGUCUUUUGUGAGAAUCGUGCAACUAACAAAAUGACAUCAUUUCUC